This 253-nucleotide ribosomal RNA is filed under the name uncultured bacterium. RNAcentral's name for it is "partial 16S ribosomal RNA". It matches the Rfam family "Bacterial small subunit ribosomal RNA", at positions 524 to 776 of the family's 1533-position model. The record is from RNAcentral.
UACGUAGGGUGCAAGCGUUGUCCGGAAUUAUUGGGCGUAAAGAGCUCGUAGGCGGUUUGUCGCGUCUGCUGUGAAAACGCGAGGCUCAACCUCGCGCCUGCAGUGGGUACGGGCAGACUAGAGUGCGGUAGGGGAGAUUGGAAUUCCUGGUGUAGCGGUGAAAUGCGCAGAUAUCAGGAGGAACACCAGUGGCGAAGGCGGUGCUCUGGGCCGGAACUGACGCUGAGGAGCGAAAGCGUGGGGAGCAAACAGG